RNAcentral lists this ribosomal RNA (449 nucleotides) under uncultured bacterium. RNAcentral's name for it is "partial 16S ribosomal RNA". It matches the Rfam family "Bacterial small subunit ribosomal RNA", at positions 338 to 795 of the family's 1533-position model. The record is from RNAcentral.
CCUACGGGUGGCUGCAGUCGAGGAUCUUCGGCAAUGGGCGCAAGCCUGACCGAGCGACGCCGCGUGCGGGAUGAAGGCCUUCGGGUUGUAAACCGCUGUCAGGGGGGAUGAAAUCAUGGUGGGUACUCCCAUCAUGUUGACAGAGCCCCAGAGGAAGCGCGGGCUAAGUUCGUGCCAGCAGCCGCGGUAAUACGAACUGCGCGAACGUUAUUCGGAAUCACUGGGUUUACGGGGUGCAAAGGUGGCAUCGAAAUGCCUUGGCUCAACCAAGGCACAGCGCUCUAAACUACUUUGCUUGAGUGAGUCAGGGGUGCACGGAACUUCCGGUGGAGCGGUGAAAUGUGUUGAUAUCGGAAGGAACACCGGCGGCGAAAGCGGUGCACUGGGGCUUAACUGACACUGAGGCACGAAAGCCAGGGGAGCGAACGGGAUUAGAUACCCGUGUAGUC